ACGAGUUUUAAUUGAAACCUUUCGCUUAAUUUUCUCGACUUUCCUCACAAUGGCUUUUCUCUCAGCGAAGAAUAAUAACUUUUCUGAAGAACGAAGAACAAUAGUUUUUCCUCAAAAUUUCCGUCAAAAUUGAUCACAGAUUCCUUGUGGAAGAUUGAAGAGCUGAAGAACAUGAAUGUCCUCAUAGAUUCUUUGUCAAAAAAGAGUUGUUCAGCCGGAUUUCAUAUAUGAACAAAAUUCUUCAAACGAACACGACCCACGUCUUAAACCUUUCGGUUUGUUGGAAUAGUGUUUACCAGAAUUGAGUUGAAGCUUAAUCGUCUUUCUCUGAUGAACUAAUGAGCUGAAGAUGAAGAUACCUACGAUUCCUUCCUAAUAUCAAUUUGGAGAAGCUAAAUAACAGACUUUCCAUGGGGAUAGACAUAUUAAUAGCCAUGUCGGGAGAUGAACUUCUUACCUCGUCAACCAUUUUUGGUGGAUUAGGUCUCCACACGUUUAAGAGGAGAACUAGUAAACAGGUCACGAUGGAAGAGAGUACUUGUUAAUGUCGGAUGAGGACUUUAUAAGGCGAUGAAGUUUCAGGUCCUAACGAACAGAAUCGCAACAAGUGUGUAUCUUUUUUGUUGCAUUUAAAGUAAGCUUUUUUUCACUAUAUCUUUUUUAACCCAUCCUGUGCAAUAUUUCAAGCUGUUGAGGUUCAUAAUAAAUGUAGUUUAUGAAUUUUCAGUUUUAGUUAAAUAACAUUUUGAGUAUGAGGUGCCAUUGUUUAUACUGUCUUUAUAAUUUCUGUAUAACAUCAAAGGUGAUUGAUUUAUAAAUUUUUUUCUUCAAGUUCAAAAUUUUGUGAUGAAUCUUUUAAAACUCCAUUCAAAUAUGUUACUUUGUUAUCCUAACUAUUAAUCUAUAUGAAUGAUAAAAUUUAAGCACUGAUUUAAUAUUCUAGUUAUUUUUCAAAUUCUUAAGUUAAUUUCGUAAUCCAUUAGAAUCGAACGCUUCAAAUUACUGAACCAAAUCACUACUACAUGUAACCUCCAGAAUGUUUUGGUACUCAGUGUUUGUCCUUAUCAAGAUUUAUUGGUGUUAUGCGUGUAAAGUGGUAGGUGAGGGCAUGUAUCAUUUUCUUCUACAUUGCGAGCUAUCCAUUAGGUUAUGUUGGGACAUGUUUAGUAGAGAAAAGGUAUUUCUCUAUAUAUAGGAUUUAGAUCAAAAUUGUAUGUUAACUCACUUGUAUGAUUGACUUUAUUUUUGUUUUGUUUUAAUCAUCAGUGCUAGAAAAUAUGCAACUGCUAUAUAUUGAGUGACAACCACUAUUUUUUAGGUUAUCUAGUUUAUCUAUUUUCCAAUUGUUUAAACCAAUCAGACAAUAGGCAUCACACGAUAUCUCAUUAUAACUUCAGUUUAAUAGCAUUGUAUCUUGGUGUUUGUUCACUUCUUUUUCCUAUGUUCACUUAUUUCAUUCUUAGCUCAACUGUAUCAAAUUUCGUAGAUGAGCUUUUUUAACCAUUUUCUCGUGGCUUCUCGUGUAGAAUGGUGCUCAAUACCGAUCCUAGUAUGGCUACUAUAUCAUGGAUUUAUGGUAGUAAAACUGAUUCAUCAUGAUCUACAUUCUCUUCGGGAAUAUGAUUCAAUUUGUUAGUCAUAUCGUUCUAUAUUAUGCUUAUACUAAUCAAAUGGGUCACACCAAAAGAACACUCUCAUUGCCUACUAACCAGCAAAUGUGCUAUGACGACCGAUUCACAAGCUACUUGAUAUUUUUUCACUUAGUUGAUCUAGAUUAUAUUCUAGAUGCUACAUACUUUUGAAUGAUGUUUUUUUAACAAACCGUCUUUCGUUCUCAAUUCAGUAAUUUACAUUCUUAUCUCUCUUUUUAGGAGAAGCAGUUCUGAUUUAUUGUAGACUUGUUAUAUACUUUUGAGACAUGUUUUCUUGUAUUGCAACUAAGUCAGUCCAAGAUAUUUUUUUUCUUCUUCGUUGGUUGUUGAUAUAGUUUUCAAUAAGAUAUAUUUUUUUGUACAGACUCACAUGUACUUUAUAAAAUUUAAGAUAGUCUCUUCAUCAUAUCAAAUCCAAAUAACUAAAAUCCCUACUUCUAUUCAUGUAUAUUCAAUGUUUUUUUUUAUUAUGUUUAAGUAUCCUCUCUUGAUAAAGGAUGAAAAGGUUGUUAUGUGUUUCAUGAGAUCUACUUGAAUUCCUUUCGAAGGCUCUAAUUUAUUCUACAACUUUGGGGGUCGAGGCCAUUUGUCCGCGCAAUCAGAAGGAUAAACAAGAACAGUACAAUAAAAGUAUAAGUACAAAUUUGAAAUUGGAACUGCUUUAAGAUGUUGGCAUGAUGUUAUGUGCUUGUUUUGUUAUUUGAUGCAUUCACAUAGUCGAUUAAUGUUGACAUAUUGAAGUAGCUAUGCUGCAUUAUUUUUCGUGAGCUAAUUAUAGUAAUUUAAUAUAGACUGUUGAUUUGAUAGUUGAAAACAGUAAAUUUCUCCUCUUUAAAUAUAAAGGAUUUCUCUCACUUGAAAUAUUUUUUUCAUUGGUUAGAAAUAGUAUUAGAGUUAUAACAUGCCUUUGUAUAGUCUAUGGAUUACCCUAUGGUUGCAUUCAUGAACCUUAUUUCUUUGUCGUUUAUUUAGCUUUUGAAUGAUAAAUGUUGGCAUUGAUGAUCUGUAUCUUGAAGAAUUUCAGACAUCUUAUCAAUUAGUAUAUGUUAGAAGAGAUGAAUUGGAAAGAUCGAUAUUGUAUUGAACAGGCAGUAUAUAUUCUUUCCUUGAAUGUUUAUCUUUGUCGUUGUAUUAAUUUAUGAAUGAUAAAAGUUGGCAUUGAUGAUAUGUAUCUUGAAGAAUUUAAGAUAUCUUAUCAAUUAGUAUAUGUUAGAAGAGCAGAAGUGGACAGACCUGUAUUGUAUUGAACAGGCAGUAUAUAUGCUUCCCUUAAAUGUUUAUCUUUUUGUCAUGAACCCGUGUCAAAUUGAUGGUGAUUGGGGUCCAACGUGGUGGCCUAGCGGGGCUGACAAAUUGAAGUAAUAACCUUAAUCAUUUGUCCGAGUAGAGGCAACACAAGCAUGGAAGCUGAAGCAAUGGCUCGAGAUGGCUUGAUGACACAUAUUUCCUGGAUUCCUACUUGCAUAGUGAGCCUUUCAUCAUCUACCGCGUUUUCAUACUCUUAUGUAUCUUUCUUCAGAAGAUGUGAUUUCUGCUCCUUCGUGUACCGAUUUUUCUCAGAAUAUCCCUAUCCUUCGUCCGUUAAUUUGAGUUAAUACUUAACUUUGGAUUUCUUAUGAUGUGCAUUUAAUUUUUCCCACUUUAGUUAUACUUAUUCUUCCUACUUCCGAUAUAAAUCAAUCGAUGUUGCUUUCACAGCUUUCCCAGUUUUCAUUCUUGAAUUACUAUUGGUUCAUAAUUAUGGAUUUAACUAUUAGUUAAUUUUGUGCUUUAGGUCAUUUGUAUGUAAUUAUAUGUGAUAUUAUAUUGAAUAUAUGCAAUUCAAAAACAUUGUUAUAGGACGUCCAAUGUUAAAGUUAUGCUUUAUUAGUGUUUAUCUAGAUAAGAUAUAAAGUAUAAACUUUAUAAGUGUUGCUCUAGAUGAGAUAUAGAGUUAUGUUUUAUAAGUGUUGUUAGAUGAGACAUAAAGCUACACGUUUAAGUAUUUCUCUAGAUGAUAUAAAAAGUUACACUUUAUAAGUGUUUCUAUAGAUAAUAUAUAAAAGGCAACACUUUAUAAGUGUUGCUCGAGAUGACAUAAAAGGUAAAACUUAUUUUAAGUGUAACCAAUAACAGUGCAAAUGCAACACUUUUAAGUGUAGUAUAAUAUAAAAUAGGUGUCGCUAAUGCAUCACUAUAAAGUGUGCCCUUAUAUCUUUUAUGCUACGAUUUAUGAGUAUUGACAAA
Non-coding RNA from Solanum lycopersicum (tomato), 3878 nucleotides. The record is from RefSeq and is a predicted model, not a curated record. NCBI's taxonomy places the organism in Eukaryota, Viridiplantae, Streptophyta, Magnoliopsida, Solanales, Solanaceae.